ACCGGCGCACGGGUGCGUAACGCGUAUGCAAUCUACCUUGUACAGGGGGAUAGCCCAGAGAAAUUUGGAUUAAUACCCCAUAGUGUUUAGAAGUGGCAUCACUUUUUUACUAAAGUUCCAACGGUACAAGAUGAGCAUGCGUCCCAUUAGCUAGUUGGUAUGGUAACGGCAUACCAAGGCUAUGAUGGGUAGGGGUCCUGAGAGGGAGAUCCCCCACACUGGUACUGAGACACGGACCAGACUCCUACGGGAGGCAGCAGUGAGGAAUAUUGGUCAAUGGUCGCAAGACUGAACCAGCCAUGCCGCGUGCAGGAAGACGGUCCUAUGGAUUGUAAACUGCUUUUAUACAGGAAGAAACCCUCUCACGUGUGGGAGCUUGACGGUACUGUAUGAAUAAGCAUCGGCUAACUCCGUGCCAGCAGCCGCGGUAAUACGGAGGAUGCGAGCGUUAUCCGGAAUCAUUGGGUUUAAAGGGUCCGUAGGCGGUUUAAUAAGUCAGUGGUGAAAUCUGGUCGCUCAACGAUCAAACUGCCAUUGAUACUGUUAGACUUGAAUUAUUGUGAAGUAACUAGAAUAUGUAGUGUAGCGGUGAAAUGCUUAGAUAUUACAUGGAAUACCAAUUGCGAAGGCAGGUUACUAACAAUUUAUUGACGCUGAUGGACGAAAGCGUGGGGAGCGAACAGGAUUAGAUACCCUGGUA
This 700-nucleotide ribosomal RNA is filed under the name uncultured bacterium. RNAcentral describes it as "bacterial SSU rRNA". It matches the Rfam family "Bacterial small subunit ribosomal RNA", at positions 94 to 792 of the family's 1533-position model. The record is from RNAcentral.